This 842-nucleotide ribosomal RNA is filed under the name uncultured Mycoplasma sp. RNAcentral's name for it is "partial 23S ribosomal RNA". It matches the Rfam family "Bacterial large subunit ribosomal RNA", at positions 1095 to 1927 of the family's 2925-position model. Lineage: Bacteria; Bacillati; Mycoplasmatota; Mollicutes; Mycoplasmatales; Mycoplasmataceae. The record is from RNAcentral.
CGGAUGUUGGCUUAGAAGCAGCCAUCAUUUAAAGAGUGCGUAAUAGCUCACUAGUCUAGUUUUUUGGCGCCGCAAGUAUAACGGGGCUAAGCUUAAUACCGAAUUUUUGGAUUCAAAAUUUUUUAAAGAUUAUGAGUGGUAGACAAAUGUUGUAUAAGGGCUGAAGUUUGAGCGAGAGCACAGAUGGACUUUAUACAAGUAAGAAUUCCGGCGUAAGUAACGAAUGAAAGUGAGAAUCUUUCUAGCCGAUUGAUCAAGGUUUCCGGGGCUAGGUUCGUCCUCCUCGGGUUAGUCGAUCCUAAGGUGAGGUCGAAAGACGUAAUUGAUGGACAACGGGUUAAUAUUCCCGUACUACCUUGGGCUGUUAAUGGGUGGACAAAAGAGGUUUAGGUAAGAGGAUUAAUGGAUUUCCUUUUAAGUUUCAAAGCAAGCUAGGGAUGAAAAUCACCUUAGUAUAUAUUGCAAGAAACGAAUACGAUUUCUAGUGGCGACACUAGAAAGAGUUACUAACAAUCGCUUUUCGAGAAAAGACUCUAGACAUAAGCUCAAGGUAUUCGUACCGAAAACGAACACACGUGAUCAAGGAGAAUAUCCUAAGGCUAGCGAGCUAACUACAGUUAAGGAACUCUGCAAAUUAACUCUGUAACUUAGGAAGAAAGAGUGCCCCAGAAGGAAUCUGGGGUCACAGUAAAGAACGAGGGCGGACUGUUUAACAAAAACACAGCUAUAUGCAAAAUUCGAAUAUGAAGUAUAUGUGGCGACACCUGCCCCGGUGCCAGAAGGUCAAAGAAGGUUGUUAGGCUAGUUUUCUAGCUGAAGCUUCUAACUUAAGCCCUGGGGUG